UACGUAGGUGGCGAGCGUUGCCCGGAUUUAUUGGGCGUAAAGGGCGCGCAGGUGGUGCGGUAAGACUGCCGUGAAAUCUCCCGGCUCAACUGGGAGGGGGCGGUGGAGACUGCCGGACUAGAGGCACUCAGAGGCCGGUGGAAUUCCCGGUGUAGUGGUGAAAUGCGUAGAGAUCGGGAGGAACACCAGUGGCGAAGGCGGCCGGCUGGGGGUGACCUGACGCUGAGGCGCGAAAGCGUGGGGAGCGAACCGG
This 253-nucleotide ribosomal RNA is filed under the name uncultured bacterium. RNAcentral describes it as "partial 16S ribosomal RNA". It matches the Rfam family "Bacterial small subunit ribosomal RNA", at positions 524 to 776 of the family's 1533-position model. The record is from RNAcentral.